UACGAAGGGAGCUAGCGUUGUUCGGAAUCACUGGGCGUAAAGCGCACGUAGGCGGAUGUGUCAGUCAGGGGUGAAAUCCCGGAGCUCAACUUCGGAACUGCCUCUGAUACAGCACGUCUUGAGUCCGAAAGAGGUGGGUGGAAUUCCUAGUGUAGAGGUGAAAUUCGUAGAUAUUAGGAAGAACACCGGUGGCGAAGGCGGCCCACUGGAUCGGUAUUGACGCUGAGGUGCGAAAGCGUGGGGAGCAAACAGG
This 253-nucleotide ribosomal RNA is filed under the name uncultured bacterium. RNAcentral's name for it is "partial 16S ribosomal RNA". It matches the Rfam family "Bacterial small subunit ribosomal RNA", at positions 524 to 776 of the family's 1533-position model. The record is from RNAcentral.